This 257-nucleotide ribosomal RNA is filed under the name uncultured bacterium. RNAcentral describes it as "partial 16S ribosomal RNA". It matches the Rfam family "Bacterial small subunit ribosomal RNA", at positions 524 to 776 of the family's 1533-position model. The record is from RNAcentral.
UACGGAGGGUCCAAGCGUUGUUCGGAAUCAUUGGGCGUAAAGCGCGCGCAGGCGGAUCAGCAAGUCAGGUGUGAAAUCUCGGGGCUCAACCCCGAAACUGCGCCUGAAACUGCUAGUCUAGAAUAUCGGAGGGGGCAGGGGAAUUUCACGGUAGUAGGGGUAAAAUCCGUAGAGGAUGGUGAAGGAACACCGGGGGCGAAGGCGCCUGCCUGGACGAUUAUUGACGCUGAGGCGCGAAAGCGUGGGGAGCAAACAGG